Long non-coding RNA from Astatotilapia calliptera (eastern happy), 632 nucleotides. NCBI's taxonomy places the organism in Eukaryota, Metazoa, Chordata, Actinopteri, Cichliformes, Cichlidae. The record is from Ensembl.
GAACCUAAGCACAAAGAAUAGAGCAGGUUACACAACAAAGGGAAAUUACGCAUAAAAGUGGCUCAACAAGAUUAUAUCAGAUUAUCGUCCACUGAAAGGACUUUUCUAUUUGAUUUAUUUAUAUAACGGGGACGAUACAUGUCGUCUGCUUAUCCCAGCUGACUUAAUGAUGGACCCUGCAGUACUGACCUAUUCAGUGGAUGAAUAAUAGCAACUCUUUUUACGAGGAUGAAAGUCGAGGGAGCACUUAACACUUCAGAGGAAAUUUGUUUGGGUGUUCAGGAACAACAAGGCUCAAGCCUGCCAUGAACUGGAAGUUUGUGAGUUUUACAUCAAGAUCGGCAUCUUCAUGCUCCCCUGAAGUUUUCAGCUGAUCACGUGAACGAGCCAAAUAGAAAAAAUGUGCAGAGACGAGACAAAGACUGAGCUAUUUGGCCACAGUGAUAACAGGGCAGACCUUCAACUGUACCAAGUGAAGAGCUGCCAAGAAGAAGAAGACACAAAUAAAUAAGUCAAAAGUCAGAAAGAAAUCUCUGUAUGUGUGUAUUUUAUCUUUACACUGUAAGUUACCAGUGUGCAGAUAUCUGCUGUUUAUUUUGCCAUGAAGACUUUCAUUACACAGUGAAAUAAAG